This 299-nucleotide signal recognition particle RNA is filed under the name Cebus imitator (Panamanian white-faced capuchin). Its description in RNAcentral is "Metazoan signal recognition particle RNA (ENSCCAG00000004941.1)". It matches the Rfam family "Metazoan signal recognition particle RNA". Rfam says of the family: The signal recognition particle (SRP) is a universally conserved ribonucleoprotein. Lineage: Eukaryota; Metazoa; Chordata; Mammalia; Primates; Cebidae. The record is from RNAcentral.
GCUGGGCAUAGUGGCGUGUGCCUAUAGUCCCAGCUACUCAGGAGGCUGAGGUAGGAGGAUCACUUGAGCCCAGGAGUCCUGGGCUGCAGUGCUGUAUGCUGAUCAGGUGUCCGCACUAAGUUCAGCAUCAAUAUGGUGACCUCCCGGGAUCGGGGGACCGCCAGGUUGCCUAAGGAGGGGUGAACCGGCCCAGGUGGGAAACGGAGCGGGUCAAAACUCCUGUGCUGAUCAGUAGUGGGAUCGCGCCUGUGAAUAGCCACUGCACUCCAGCCUGGGCAACACAGCGAGACCCUGUCUCU